This 468-nucleotide ribosomal RNA is filed under the name uncultured bacterium. Its description in RNAcentral is "partial 16S ribosomal RNA". It matches the Rfam family "Bacterial small subunit ribosomal RNA", at positions 28 to 507 of the family's 1533-position model. The record is from RNAcentral.
GACGAACGCUGGCGGCGUGCUUAACACAUGCAAGUCGAACGGAAAGGCCCUGCUUUUGUGUGUUGCUCGAUUGGCGAACGGGUGAGUAACACGUGAGUAACCUGCCCUUGACUGUGUGAUAACUUCAGGAAACUGGGGCUAAUACCGGAUAGGAUCUUUUGCUGCAUGGGGGGGGAUGGAGAGUUUCGGCGGUGGUGGCUGGUCUGGCUGGUUAUGAGCUUGUUUGUGAGGUUGUGGCAUACCAAGUGUUUGACGGGUAGGCGGCAUGAGAGGGUGAACGGCGACAUUGCGACUGAGGUACGGACCAGACUCGUACGGGAGGCAACAGUGGGGAAUCUUGCACAGUGGGCCGACGCCUGAUGCAGCAACGCCGCGUGCGUGAUGACGGCCUUCGGGUUGUAAACCGAUUUCGCAUGUGACGAAGCGUGAGUGACGGUAAUGGGUAAAGAAGCACCGGCUAACUACGUG